Molecule: ribosomal RNA, 515 nt
Filed under: uncultured bacterium
Lineage: Bacteria
Description: partial 16S ribosomal RNA
Rfam family: Bacterial small subunit ribosomal RNA
Source: RNAcentral
GAUGAACGCUGGCGGCGUGCCUAAUACAUGCAAGUCGAGCGAAUGGAUUAAGAGCUUGCUCUUAUGAAGUUAGCGGCGGACGGGUGAGUAACACGUGGGUAACCUGCCCAUAAGACUGGGAUAACUCCGGGAAACCGGGGCUAAUACCGGAUAACAUUUUGAACCGCAUGGUUCGAAAUUGAAAGGCGGCUUCGGCUGUCACUUAUGGAUGGACCCGCGUCGCAUUAGCUAGUUGGUGAGGUAACGGCUCACCAAGGCAACGACGCGUAGCCGACGUGAGAGGGGGGUCAGCCACACUGGGACUGAGACACGGCCCAGACUCCUACGGGAGGCAGAAGUAGGGAAUCUUCCGCAAUGGACGAAAGUCUGACGGAGCAACGCCGCGUGAGUGAUGAAGGCUUUCGGGUCGUAAAACUCUGUUGUUAUGGAAGAACAAGUGCUAGUUGAAUAAGCUGGCACCUUGACGGUACCUAACCAGAAAGCCACGGCUAACUACGUGCCAGCCGCCGCCGUAA